CGUUAGUUUUUUAAUUGGAAUCUUGUAUGAAUGGUUGGACAAAAGAAAAACUGUCUUUGUAUUGAUUAUUGAAUUUUACUUCUAAGUGAAAAGGCUUAGAUAGUUUAAUGGGACGAUAAGACCCUAUAAAGCUUAAUAUUAAAAUUUUAUUUGAUUAAAUUUUUUUUCAAUAAAAAUCUAAUAAUUAAAUUUAUUUUAUUGGGGCGAUAAAAGUAUAAUGUUUGAUAACUGCUUAAUUUUAAUUACACCUAUGCGUGAAUUAAUUUAUGAUUGAUCCUAAUUAAAGAUUAAAAGUUUAAGUUACUUUAGGGAUAACAGCGUUAUUUUUCUUAAGAGUGCUUAUCGAAAGAAA
This 352-nucleotide ribosomal RNA is filed under the name Neoeriocheir leptognathus. RNAcentral's name for it is "partial 16S ribosomal RNA". The record is from RNAcentral. Lineage: Eukaryota; Metazoa; Arthropoda; Malacostraca; Decapoda; Varunidae.